RNAcentral lists this ribosomal RNA (957 nucleotides) under marine metagenome. RNAcentral describes it as "bacterial SSU rRNA". It matches the Rfam family "Bacterial small subunit ribosomal RNA", at positions 484 to 1442 of the family's 1533-position model. The record is from RNAcentral.
UAAGAAGGUCCGGCUAACUUCGUGCCAGCAGCCGCGGUAAUACGAAGGGACCUAGCGUAGUUCGGAAUUACUGGGCUUAAAGAGUUCGUAGGUGGUUAAAAAAGUUGGUGGUGAAAUCCCAGAGCUUAACUCUGGAACUGCCAUCAAAACUUUUUAGCUAGAGUUUGAUAGAGGAAAGCAGAAUUUCUAGUGUAGAGGUGAAAUUCGUAGAUAUUAGAAAGAAUACCGAUUGCGAAGGCAGCUUUCUGGAUCAAUACUGACACUGAGGAACGAAAGCAUGGGUAGCGAAGAGGAUUAGAUACCCUCGUAGUCCAUGCCGUAAACGAUGUGUGUUAGAUGUUGGAAAUUUAUUUUCAGUAUCGCAGCGAAAGCGUUAAACACACCGCCUGGGGAGUACGACCGCAAGGUUAAAACUCAAAUGAAUUGACGGGGACCCGCACAAGUAGUGGAGCAUGUGGUUUAAUUCGAAGAUACGCGCAGAACCUUACCAACACUUGACAUGUUUGUCGCGACUUUAAGAGAUUAAAGUCUUCGGUUCGGCCGGACAAAACACAGGUGCUGCAUGGCUGUCGUCAGCUCGUGUCGUGAGAUGUUGGGUUAAGUCCCGCAACGAGCGCAACCCUCACUUUUAGUUGCCACCAUUUAGUUGGGCACUCUGAAAGAACUGCCAGUGAUAAGCUGGAGGAAGGUGGGGAUGACGUCAAGUCCUCAUGGCCCUUACGUGUUGGGCUACACACGUGCUACAAUGGCAUUUACAAUAGGAAGCAAGGCGGCGACGUCGAGCAAAUCCUAAAAAAAUGCCUCAGUUCGGAUUGUACUCUGCAACUCGAGUACAUGAAGCUGGAAUUACUAGUAAUCGCGGAUCAGCGCGCCGCGGUGAAUACGUUCCCGGGUCUUGUACACACCGCCCGUCACACCAUGGGAGUUGGUUCUACCUUAAGGCAAAGCUUAAAAACU